RNAcentral lists this long non-coding RNA (473 nucleotides) under Ananas comosus (pineapple). Its description in RNAcentral is "long non-coding RNA (ACOM_LNC032771)". Lineage: Eukaryota; Viridiplantae; Streptophyta; Magnoliopsida; Poales; Bromeliaceae. The record is from RNAcentral.
ACAGCUGAAUUUUUUCGAACUCGAGAGCUGCUUCUCUCGGUCAGCUGUCUGGUACCGGUACAAGCUUAAUGCAAUACCGGUAACAAAAAUUCCAGACUUAAAUUUUCGCAUCGUUUCGACUCCAAUUCGCGUCGAGCAAUACUAAAACCUUUCUAACUUAUUUAGAACUCACUUUUAACCCUUCCAACAUUGUUGGAGUGCUAAAUGGAACUUGUUCAACUAUUUCUUUCGAACACUUUAAUCAAUUUGGCUAAAGUUCGAUAUACUCAACUGGGUUUCGGUAUAUUACAUAUCUUUUGCCAUUUUCUUUACUCUCUUUUCUUUUUUUUUUUUUUUUUAAGAUCAUCUCCCCACCAUAUGCAUUCAAUGACGGUUAGUUUUGGAUUCAGGUUCAGGUUUGGAUAUAGAUUUUUAAAAUCCAUCGGUUUCGGGUUCAAUUUCGAGUUUGGAUUCGGGUCCGGAUCUUUGAAAAU